RNAcentral lists this long non-coding RNA (1077 nucleotides) under Triticum aestivum (bread wheat). RNAcentral describes it as "long non-coding RNA (TAES_LNC014574)". The record is from RNAcentral. Lineage: Eukaryota; Viridiplantae; Streptophyta; Magnoliopsida; Poales; Poaceae.
UUACGAAGGCAACAAAAUUAUAUUCAUUCAAAUAAUAGCACUUGUUCACAACACAAUUACAGAUUUCCAACAAUCUAGUAUGAUUUCAAAAAACAAAGCUUAAUAUCAAAACAUCACAAGCAUAACUAGAACGCACUAUAAGCAUUUAAAAAAAUCAAGUAAACUGACUAAAAUGCACUACUGGCUGAUUUUAAUCUCCAACACUACACCACCACUUCCAGGUAGCUAUUCAGGCCCAAGUAAUUCCUGGUAAAAAACUUCAAUCUCCAAUGACAUGGACCAACUGCCAAACCUGUAAACAAUUCAACACAUAAAAAAUUAUAGUAAGUUAUAACAACUAACUCCCAAAUGAAUAGAGAGUAAUAAUAUUAGUUGAUUUUCCAAGCAAUCUAGACAUAACCACACCUGGGAAUUGUGAAGGAUAGUAAUAUAUGUUGGAAGAAAAAAAAGCAUGCAUUCUCCAAUUACAAUAAAGCAUAGCCUUCAUGGCAUACAAGGUAGAUAAUUAUCACUGCCCACACUUCAGAAUGAGAUGGGAUAUGGAAUUGAGAGAGAGCAAAUCUUUAAAUUUUAUACAUGUCAUUUCCUAAGUAUACCCUUUAUAAUAAAAUGAAUAUAAGGGAAAGUUUUAUAAAAAGGGUACAAGAUAAUGAACCAACAAAAUUAAUAUCAUGUUAACAAUGUAACCAUUAGUUAAUGAUAUGCAACAAAUAUUAACAUGAUUUUCUUGAUGGAUGUAAAGAGCCCUCACAUGAAAAUGUAUUAAGUAAAUAAUUCAAGGGAGUAUACCUAGAUGUCAUUUUUUUUCUUUAGUACAUCAUAUUUUAGUUUAACUUAGCACACCAUUGAUUAAUCAUUCUUUCCAGCAGGCUUUGACUAAUGACAUGGUGUGAAUAAUACCAAGAAAUAGAGAAUAUGCUAGUAAUAACACUGAAAUUUUGGGAUUGAACAAAUGCACUAUGUAACAGAUCAAACACUCCUAAAUCAGAAGCAAAAAUACCAUCUAUUAUUAAUGUUAAAGAAAAGCGCUCAAUCUUCACUUCCAUCGCUCCUUUAGAUUGCAAUUCUAUGUACACG